This is an RNA transcript of Nomascus leucogenys (northern white-cheeked gibbon), 2212 nucleotides long. RefSeq lists it as uncharacterized. NCBI's taxonomy places the organism in Eukaryota, Metazoa, Chordata, Mammalia, Primates, Hylobatidae. The transcript has 2 exons. The record is from RefSeq and is a predicted model, not a curated record.
AUGCCCCCAGGGCACACCCAGUUCCCGUUGGAGCAGGGCAGUGCCAGUCUCCUGCAAAGGGGCCUUGGGUGGGAACGGGCCCGGAGUGGGAGGAACGUGACUCCCCAGAGGGAAGAUGGGCGUCGUCCUGGGCCCAGAGCUGGGAAGGAGUUGCUGCCCACACAGGGUGGGCCUGGGCUCCCCUCGCCCCUACCCCCAGUGGCUGUAGCACUGAGCCUGGAGAGCAGGCCCGGCCCGGGGUGGCUGGGAGGCUGCCAGGGGCCUCCCAGAGCUCCCAAGGGCCCCCACCUGCAAGGACCAGCCUCAGGGCAGUGCCGGGAUGAGGCCCUGUCAGUGGCCGCCAGCAAUGCCUCGGGAUGCUCACUGGGAGGGAGGCGGCUUUGGGCUCCCGCGUCCUUGGGAGAGGCUGGGAGCAGUCACUGCGCGGCUUGCGCAAGCCCCUUGUCGGGUCGGGUGGCUUCCUCAGCCAGGGCUGGGAGGGCACCAGGAUCAGGUCCUCCCUGUCUCGCGUCUCAGUGGGGUGAUGGGGAGGAGACCUGGCCAGCCGUGGCUCAGGGGCAGCUGAGAACAAGGACCUGCUGGAGCUGGAAGUGCCGUGGUGUUGAGGGGUGGGGUGGGCAGCUUCUCACACCUGCCUCCUGCCUCCAUCUGUCCACCUUUCCCCCACCCUGACCUGUCCCAGCCCCACACAUGGUUCUGCCUGGCUGGCCUGCCCUUGGCACCUGGCGUAGAGCACACAGAAGGCACUCGGCUAAUGCUGGGCAGGCCCACUCAUGGGGAGUGCGUGGCUGUGCAGCACCAGGGAACCGGCACAGCAGCGCCGGCAGAAAUCACAGCAGUAAACUCGUCCGGGUUGUAUGCAUCAAGGUGGCGACAGACGUGGGUCCCCCCACUGCACUGUGGCCCUGAGCAGUGUAUAGCAGCCCUGCAAUGGGAGCCAUUAUCUUGCCCCUUUGACAGAGGAGGAAACUGAGGCACAGGGAGGUGAAGUAGCUGCCACACACUAGUGCCUCCUGGCUCACUCACCACCCCCUGCACCACAGUGCAGCCGCUUCUCCCACCAGCUGAGGUUCCUUAGACCCCCAAGCCUGGGAAUGGGGAGGUGAGUUUACAAAAUGGAAAGCUUAAAAGGAGAAAAGUGGAACCAGAGGGUGGAGAAGCCCUCAGUGGUAGAGUAAGGCCUCCAGUGCUGCCUCCGGGUGCAGGGCAGAGCGGCAGAGGAAAGGGGGAGAGGCACCGGGCACCAUGGGGGCCCAGUUCCCACUUCGGGGAUCUCUCUGGCAGAACCAAGGGUCCCCUUCAUGGGGGUAGAUGCCCAGGGCUAGCCGUUGCCACUGUCUGUGUGGACCUGAGUCCUGGGCAUGCCCGAGUGACUCAGCAGUGGCUGCUUGGGCGGGCUCUGGCACCCUAGCAUGUUAUCCAUUCUGGGAACUGGAGUCAGCCACUAGAGAAGUUGGAGCUGCAGGAAGUGACCCUGGGGUGGGACCUGGGGACAUGGCCGGGUCGGCAUGGGACACCUGGCUCCAGCAGGAGCUCUGGUCUGUCCUGGUGUCUUUGGGGGCAGGGCUGCGGCCCUGGGCAGGCUUCCUCCAGGUGGAGGUCCUGGGAAAGUGGGGGAGCCAGGCUGGCUGCCGCCUCCCCCACUACGUAGCGUCUGAUUCGUCCUCUCCCAUGAAGGUGAUUUGGUUCAUAACCCUGAAACUCUGAAAAAGGUCCAAAGAGGAGAGAGGCCCUCGGUGGAGAUGCCGAGCUUUUCUGCAGGUGCUUUGUCCCACUGCUCUGGGUGGUCUGCGCUCGUCUUCAAGCCUCAGCUCGCGGGGAGGGCCUGAAUCUGCCAGCCCCUCUCAGCAUCUCCUUCCCUCUGGGCCCUCCCCAGCCUUAAGGAGCCUCCCAGACAGAAGGGUGGACAGAGCCACCUGGGCAGCCCGAGAGACACACGGGGGUCCUCCCUGUGGACAGCCCUGCCAGCUUCCGCCCAGCCCUGAGCUUCGUUUGCAUUUUGAGUAAGGGGUGGUGAAAUGGGAAUGCUGGUCCGGCUCAGCUGGUCGUGGGCAUAAGUGCCCGCUGGAUGGAUGGCGUCUCUCCCUCCUGUCUUCUGUCCUGGGAUCCAGGUGCUUCCCAGGGCCAUACCCCUGCUGCUAAUGCCCUAACCCUUACCCUAACCAGCAUCCAGCGUCGUCUCACCGAGCCAUGAAUAAAUCAGCGGAUUCGC